This 366-nucleotide long non-coding RNA is filed under the name Chlamydomonas reinhardtii. Its description in RNAcentral is "long non-coding RNA (CREI_LNC000433)". The record is from RNAcentral. Lineage: Eukaryota; Viridiplantae; Chlorophyta; Chlorophyceae; Chlamydomonadales; Chlamydomonadaceae.
AACCCCUCCUGCUUUCACACUCGAACCCCAGCAUAGUGUAGCUGCCAGUUCCCGCAUCACUGGAUGCCCGUGCGUGAGGGUGCUCAGAACAGAGUGGGGGCCAUUCACGGCCUGCACGCUGCCUUCUGCACUAUCGCCUGCCUUUGCUGGUUCAUGAGCAUACCCCUCGACCCGGAUGCACCCUUACUCUCAACUGCUUCUCAUUGCGCCAUCAUCCUGGCCUCACGCCUCAACAACUGGUCCACAUUCUUGUUUCACCGCUCUCUCCACCACCCAGGCCGUGUUGUGUUGUGCCUACAUAGCAUUCCUACCUUCCGUCCUGCCUCUCCAACCCUUAACCAGUCCUCGCCAGCAGACUAUCACUGU